Non-coding RNA from Ixodes scapularis (black-legged tick), 82 nucleotides. The record is from Rfam. NCBI's taxonomy places the organism in Eukaryota, Metazoa, Arthropoda, Arachnida, Ixodida, Ixodidae.
ACAGCCGUGGCCAAGUGGUUAAGGCGAUGGACCAGAAAUUCAUUGGAGUCUCCCCGCACAGGUUCAAACCCUGUCAACUGCG